RNAcentral lists this ribosomal RNA (548 nucleotides) under fungal sp. TZ-2015b. RNAcentral's name for it is "eukaryotic LSU rRNA". The stretch from base 195 to 348 matches the Rfam family "5.8S ribosomal RNA". Lineage: Eukaryota; Fungi. The record is from RNAcentral.
UGCUUUUAUCUAGUCGUUCGCGUACAUAGGGGCAACCCUCGCGUGAUGUCAGCAAUACCUAGGUAACCCUUGAAUAAACUACCCUUGUUGCUUUGGCGGGCCGCCGUCUCGGCCAGCGGCUUCGGCUGCUGCGCGCCCGCCAGAGGACCACAACUCUUGUUUUUAGUGAUGUCUGAGUACUAUAUAAUAGUUAAAACUUUCAACAACGGAUCUCUUGGUUCUGGCAUCGAUGAAGAACGCAGCGAAAUGCGAUAAGUAAUGUGAAUUGCAGAAUUCAGUGAAUCAUCGAAUCUUUGAACGCACAUUGCGCCCUUUGGUAUUCCGAAGGGCAUGCCUGUUCGAGCGUCAUUAUAACCACUCAAGCUCUCGCUUGGUAUUGGGGUGCGCGGUUCCGCGGCCUCUAAAGUCAGUGGCGGUGCCUGUCGGCUCUACGCGUAGUAAUACUCCUCGCGUCUGGGUCCGGUAGGUUGCUUGCCAACAACCCCCAAAUUUUUACAGGUUGACCUCGGAUCAGGUAGGGAUACCCGCUGAACUUAAGCAUAUCAAAA